This 479-nucleotide ribosomal RNA is filed under the name uncultured bacterium. Its description in RNAcentral is "SSU rRNA". It matches the Rfam family "Bacterial small subunit ribosomal RNA", at positions 26 to 521 of the family's 1533-position model. The record is from RNAcentral.
AGGACGAACGCUUGCGACGUGCCUAAGAAAUGCAAGUCGAACGGGGUCAGACUUCGGUUUGGCCUAGUGGCGAACGGUCGCGUAACACGUAGGCAACCUGCCCUGAAGCGGGGGACAACAGCUUGAAAGAGCUGCUAAUACCGCAUGUGUUUGUUUGGUGGCAUCAUCGAAUAAACAAAGCCGUAAGGCACUUCAGGAUGGGCCUGCGGCCUAUCAGCUAGUUGGUGAGGUAACGGCUCACCAAGGCUUCGACGGGUAGCUGGUCUGAGAGGACGAUCAGCCGGAUUGGGGACUGAGAUACGGCCCAGACUCCUACGGGGGGCAGCAAUUAGGAAUCUUGCACAAUGGGGGAAACCCUGAUGCAGCGACGUCGCGUGAAGGAUGAAAUCUUUCGGGAUGUAAACUUCUUUUAUCAGCCAUGAAAAAAUGACAGUAGCUGAUGAAUAAGCCCCGGCUAACUACGCGCCAGCAGCCGCGGU